CUGAUCUGAUCUGAUCUGAAGCGAGUUCCUAUGGGUUCUUCUCUUUCGUCGUCUCUUCUCUCCAACCUUCAUUGUUGAUGUUCUUAGAUUUUGGGAAACAUCGCUCGGGACAGAGGAAAUAGAGGAACAGAGCAAGAAAACAACAGAGAGGAGGAACAUGCGGAGAAUACAGCGAAACCCACAUCGAAAAGCGAGUCAAUUUCAGAUCAAGAAUUGAGGAUAGCUCCUGAAACCGAGAAAAAGUUGGAUUUUUUGAAAGAAUUCGAAGGUUCAAUUAAAGAAAGAUUCCUCAGCUCCUCAAACAUUGAAGAAUUGAAAGCUGUAGAUGUCUCUGUAGGGCCUCUCAUACUCACAAGGUGUAAAUCAGAACCAGCAAGAACCGAAGAGAAGCUUGAUCCAGACUCUAAUUUCUGGAAAAGAAGAAGGUUGGGUCUCAUUGGUUCACACUCACAACCUGUUUUGUGAUUAAAUCCAUUAUUAUAAUUUCUAUCUCUUUUAUUUUAUUUUAUUUUAUUUUUUUACUGAAUUGAAAAUAUUUUUGGGCAGCUGAAUUUGGAAUUGGUUUUUUUUUUUUGUUUAAUAUUGAAAAAAAAAAUACAUGUUGAGCUAUAUAUAUAGGAGAGAAUCUCUAUGGCUCUAUGGUAAUAUAAAAAGGUAAGUUUGGUUGUACACCGAAAGCUGAAAGAAAUGAAAUAGGUGUGUUCAUCUAUAUCUAUCUAUGUGCUUUGCUUUGCUCUGCCACUCCUCAUGGGCAGCUGUCUGUAUUUACUACUUUUUAUUUGUUUGUGUCAUUUAAAUCAAUUUGUGUUUUUCAACGAAUUUCAUGGAACUGGAAGUUUGGGACUGUUCUCAGUGUUUUCUACUUUUGCUUUAUGGACUGGUUUGGGGUAAUGGGAUUUUGAUUAAUAUAAUAAGCAUCUUUGGAUACUCUGACCAACUUAAAUAUUUGUUGAAAGCCUAUGUGUAUAGUAGCUUUAUGAGGUGACCCCCACAUCCCACAUCUUAUUGUAAUACAUGUUCAUAUCUCUGACUUUUUGAUAUUUAGGGGUUUAUCUAUAGUAUAAAGAAUAAUAAAUAUGAAACAUGAUUCUAAUUUUUUUAAUGGGGGCUAGUUUGCCACUUUGCCUCUCUUUUUUUCUUGUUUUCAGAGAAUUGCAAUUAAGAUUUUUGACCUCUUAUUUACUUUCAACUUUUAAAGAUUUGUUGAUCAAAAAGUAUGGUCUAAAGGUUCUAUGAUUAAUGUCUAAAAUGUGAAAGGUACGUGAUCAGGUCAUUGUCUUAUAGCUUUUGGAUAUUUCAUUUAAGGAUGAUUAGGGAACAUAAUCCAUCAUCCAUUUCAUAAUUCACAUUAGAUAAGAAACAUAGGGUGGAAAAUUUUCGUUUGAGCUAAACUUCUUUGAUUCAGACCACUUUACAAAGAUUAGGUUGAGAUAAUUGAAACCUGGUUCAGGGCAUGUUUGCCUUAAGUUUAUUUUUUUUAUUUUUAUAAAUUUUAUUCAGCAUAGGGACAUCUAUUUAUCUUAACUUUACUGGUUGGAGUAAUUUAAAAACUGCAACUUGAGACCAAAAUUCUUUAAUUGUCAAUAUGCCAAAGUUGAAAGUGAAGAACCAACAGGGAGUUACCUAAUCACUUAUGACAAACAGGAAAAGUGAAUUUCAUAAUCAUAAUACAGAUCCAAAAGCCAAACAAGCAGAUGAUAAGAAAAAUUAUCAAAGCAUUCAUUUUGAAGUGUGCUUUGUUGCAAUUUCUAUCCAGUACAAUGUAAGUUAUAAGGUAUGUUGUGUUACAGCUCUGCCAAUUUGCAUAUGUAUGUUGUACUGUGUGAUGUCAAUAUUAUUUAAAAGAUUAUAUUGUUUGUAGAAAAGUUUGUUAUUUUAGAACUUAAUAAUGCAGAGCAUAAGUUUUAAGUUUUUGAAGUGUUUUGCUCUCCAAUUAAGCUAUUCUGUUAGGAUUUGUGCACUUGCCAUUUUUUUUUAACAGUUAUAGGUUCUUAAAUCUGAUUCUCUAUAUUAAUUUUUCGGACCAUUCAUUGAUGUUAUUGUUUAAUUCUAGCUCAUCAUAAGUAGGAGUCAACCUCAUGAAAAUCUGUCAUGUAAGCAUUUAUCCUUCUAGCUCUCUCUUGCAUUCAAUGCUUUUUUUGGGAUAUAAGCAUCCAACCUAAACCCAAAGCUGUUUUAUCCUUGUUAUUGAAAAAUUAUCAAUUAUCAAUUAUCUAAUUAUAGUUGAUAAUUAGAAUGACAUCCAUGUAAAAAGAUAACAUCUGGAAUGCAUAUACACAUACAAUUGAAGUCCAUGUAACAAGACCAAGCUCUAAAACAAAGCUGAAACAUUGAUAUGCACCCACAAUCAUUUACAUUAUUACUCAACUUUCAGAUAAUAAGAAACCUCUCAAAGGUUCAUUAUAUGAUUAUAUCAUUUUUUUAGCAUGUUGUUGUUUACUAGAUUUUUUUAUUUAUUUAACAAACUUAUUAUAUAUGAUUUUGAAUUUGCUGAUAUUGUCAGGUUGAACUAGAUGAGCCAAAGUUCUUGAAUAAUAAUAGUUAUAUAAAUAAAUAUCUAAGGCUCUAUGCAAAGAGAUUUGCUCUUAUGAACAUCUCCUUUUUUUUCAAGCUCUAAUAGUUAUAUCAUGUAAAUGCAGAUAUUUUUGUUGCUAAUGGAGUUGCAGAAGGGAUAAUAAGAAAUUCUUGCGAGUUAGAAGUUUCCCAGUUCAGAACUUAAGAAUGAAUGAGCCAGAAAUGCAUAUGCUUAUGAUUGUCUCUUUUUUCAAUUGUUGCCAUGAUGGUAUUCAAAUAUAGAUGUGAACAAGACACAUUGUAGUGGAUAUCUUUUUAAAUGAUUUUUUUCCCUUUUUAGAUGGAUUUCUUUGUAGUUUGUCUGCUUCUUUUAGAUACUUUGCAACAAGUGACCGGCUUGUAGUUCAUGAAAGUGAGUUAUAUAUCAAUUCAAGUUAUAAAUAUUAUGAGAUGAAAA
This is a long non-coding RNA of Quercus robur (English oak), 2971 nucleotides long. RefSeq lists it as uncharacterized. NCBI's taxonomy places the organism in Eukaryota, Viridiplantae, Streptophyta, Magnoliopsida, Fagales, Fagaceae. The transcript has 2 exons. The record is from RefSeq and is a predicted model, not a curated record.